GGUUAAGCGACUAAGCGUACACGGUGGAUGCCCUGGCAGUCAGAGGCGAUGAAGGACGUGCUAAUCUGCGAAAAGCGUCGGUAAGGUGAUAUGAACCGUUAUAGCCGGCGAUGUCCGAAUGGGGAAACCCAGUGUGAUUCGUCACACUAUCGUUAACUGAAUACAUAGGUUAACGAGGCGAACCGGGGGAACUGAAACAUCUAAGUACCCCGAGGAAAAGAAAUCAACCGAGAUUCCCCCAGUAGCGGCGAGCGAACGGGGAGCAGCCCAGAGUCUGAAUCAGCUUGUGUGUUAGUGGAACGGUCUGGAAAGUCCGACGGUACAGGGUGAUAGUCCCGUACACCAAAAUGCACAGGUUGUGAACUCGAAGAGUAGGGCGGGACACGUGGUAUCCUGUCUGAAUAUGGGGGGACCAUCCUCCAAGGCUAAAUACUCCUGACUGACCGAUAGUGAACCAGUACCGUGAGGGAAAGGCGAAAAGAACCCCGGCGAGGGGAGUGAAAAAGAACCUGAAACCGUGUACGUACAAGCAGUGGGAGCACCUUCGGGUGUGACUGCGUACCUUUUGUAUAAUGGGUCAGCGACUUAUAUUCUGUAGCAAGGUUAACCGUAUAGGGGAGCCGCAGGGAAACCGAGUCUUAACUGGGCGUUAAGUUGCAGGGUAUAGACCCGAAACCCGGUGAUCUAGCCAUGGGCAGGUUGAAGGUUGGGUAACACUAACUGGAGGACCGAACCGACUAAUGUUGAAAAAUUAGCGGAUGACUUGUGGCUGGGGGUGAAAGGCCAAUCAAACCGGGAGAUAGCUGGUUCUCCCCGAAAGCUAUUUAGGUAGCGCCUCGUGAACUCAUCUUCGGGGGUAGAGCACUGUUUCGGCUAGGGGGUCAUCCCGACUUACCAACCCGAUGCAAACUACGAAUACCGAAGAAUGUUAUCACGGGAGACACACGGCGGGUGCUAACGUCCGUCGUGAAGAGGGAAACAACCCAGACCGCCAGCUAAGGUCCCAAAGUCAUGGUUAAGUGGGAAACGAUGUGGGAAGGCACAGACAGCCAGGAUGUUGGCUUAGAAGCAGCCAUCAUUUAAAGAAAGCGUAAUAGCUCACUGGUCGAGUCGGCCUGCGCGGAAGAUGUAACGGGGCUAAACCAUGCACCGAAGCUGCGGCAGCGACACUAUGUGUUGUUGGGUAGGGGAGCGUUCUGUAAGCC
RNAcentral lists this ribosomal RNA (1205 nucleotides) under Klebsiella variicola. RNAcentral's name for it is "partial 23S ribosomal RNA". It matches the Rfam family "Bacterial large subunit ribosomal RNA", at positions 1 to 1249 of the family's 2925-position model. The record is from RNAcentral. Lineage: Bacteria; Pseudomonadati; Pseudomonadota; Gammaproteobacteria; Enterobacterales; Enterobacteriaceae.